Molecule: ribosomal RNA, 870 nt
Filed under: uncultured archaeon
Lineage: Archaea
Description: bacterial SSU rRNA
Rfam family: Archaeal small subunit ribosomal RNA
Source: RNAcentral
CUGGUUGAUCCUGCCAGACCCGACUGCUAUCGGAUUGGGACUAAGCCAUGCGAGUCAACUCCGCAAGGGGUGGCGCACGGCUCAGUAACGCGUAGUCAACCUACCCUGGGGACGGGGAUAACCUCGGGAAACUGAGGCUAAACCCCGAUGGGCCAUGGCUCCUGGAAUGGGCUAUGGCUGAAAUCUACAUGGCCCCAGGAUGGGACUGCGGCCGAUCAGGUUGUUGGUGGGGUAAUGGCCCACCAAGCCUAUAACCGGUGCGGGCUCUGAGAGGAGGAGCCCGGAGAUAGGCACUGAGACAAGGGCCCAGGUCCUAUGGGGCGCAGCAGGCGCGAAACCUCCGCAAUGGGCGAAAGCCCGACGGGGUCAGUCCGAGUGGUUCCCGCUGAGGGAACCUUUUGCCAGCUGUAAACAGGCUGGCGAAUAAGGGGUGGGCAAGUUUGGUGUCGGCCGCCGCGGUAAUACCAGCACCCCGAGUGGUCGGGACGAUUAUUGGGCCUAAAGCAUCCGUAGCCGGCCCAGUAAGUCCUCCGUUAAAUCCAACGGCUCAACCGUUGGGCUGCGGGGGAUACUGCUGGGCUAGGGGACGGGAGAGGCGAGGGGUAUUCCCGGGGUAGGGGUAAAAUCCACUGAUCCCGGGAGGACCACCAGUGGCGAAGGCGCCUCGCUAGAACGUGCCCGACGGUGAGGGAUGAAAGCUGGGGGAGCGAACCGGAUUAGAUACCCGGGUAGUCCCAGCCGUAAACGAUGUAGGCUCGGUGUUGGGCUGCCUCAGUGGCAGCCCAGUGCCGCAGGGAAGCCGUUAAGCCUACCGCCUGGGGAGUACGGCCGCAAGGCUGAAACUUAAAGGAAUUGGCGGGGGAGCACCAC